Molecule: long non-coding RNA, 147 nt
Organism: Thalassophryne amazonica
Lineage: Eukaryota; Metazoa; Chordata; Actinopteri; Batrachoidiformes; Batrachoididae
Exons: 3
Source: RefSeq, a predicted model, not a curated record
UAGGGCUGAAACAAUUAGUCGAGUAACUUGAAUAAUUCCAUUACAAAAAAUGUUUGAGGGAAAUUCUGUGUCUCAAAGCUUCAUUUAAGGUCGUAGUACAUAUGCCAGGCCUGUGUGUGGCACUGUACCAUCCUUAUAGUUAGGGCU